UACGAAGGGGGCUAGCGUUGCUCGGAAUCACUGGGCGUAAAGGGUGCGUAGGCGGGUUUUUAAGUCAGAGGUGAAAUCCUGGAGCUCAACUCCAGAACUGCCUUUGAUACUGAAAGUCUUGAGUAUGGGAGAGGUGAGUGGAACUGCGAGUGUAGAGGUGAAAUUCGUAGAUAUUCGCAAGAACACCGGUGGCGAAGGCGGCCAACUGGCGCUGACCUGACGCUGAGGCGCGAAGGCAUGGGGAGCGAACGGGG
This 254-nucleotide ribosomal RNA is filed under the name uncultured bacterium. Its description in RNAcentral is "partial 16S ribosomal RNA". It matches the Rfam family "Bacterial small subunit ribosomal RNA", at positions 524 to 777 of the family's 1533-position model. The record is from RNAcentral.